This is a long non-coding RNA of Cloeon dipterum, 442 nucleotides long. RefSeq lists it as uncharacterized. The transcript has 3 exons. The record is from RefSeq and is a predicted model, not a curated record. NCBI's taxonomy places the organism in Eukaryota, Metazoa, Arthropoda, Insecta, Ephemeroptera, Baetidae.
AUGACCAACUCCGCCCCCGCUGUCCCCGCAAGAUCCACUCGAACUGCUGCCGACCCCUUCUUCAUCCUCGAAGAUGGGGUUCACUCUGUGGAAUCAUGAACACGAUGGAUAAUGACGAAUUAAGGCGGAUGAACGAUUCUGGCAAUACGCGAAAUACAUUCCAACUGUCAUAGGAGCAGUUCAAGGAGCGGUCAAAGUUUGGAAGUCAGGCUAAUAACGAAGGAUGCAGGCUGGUGCAGCAUAGCAUAUGGAAAUGUCAUUUUAGUUCGAUGCCGAAAAUGAAAUUACCAAAUAAAUUUUGAAAAUUGCAAAACAUGUCUUGCUAUAUUUUUUUUAUUCAAUUUACAUUAUGUGUAAAUAUCAUUCAAAUGGAAUGACAAAAUUAUCUCUUUAUAUCAAGUUUUUAUUUUUCCCUUGGGUUAAAAAAUUAAGACCAAAUUCA